Molecule: long non-coding RNA, 3299 nt
Filed under: Homo sapiens (human)
Lineage: Eukaryota; Metazoa; Chordata; Mammalia; Primates; Hominidae
Description: HSALNT0167694
Source: RNAcentral
CAGCCAAAUGAUCAUUACCACCUGAGCUCCACCUCCUGUCAGGUCAGCAGUGGCAUUAGAGUCUCAUAAGAGUAUGAACCCUAAUGUGAACUGCGCAUGCAAGGGAUUUAGGUUGCACACUUAUUAUGAGAAUUUAACUAAUGCCUCAUGAUCUGGGGUGGAACACUUUCAAUACCGAGACCAUCUCCCCCACCCCUGCCCCCUGUCUGUGGAAAAACUGUCUUCCAAAAAAACCACCCCUGGUGCCAGAAAGGUUGGGGACUGCUGGCUUAAAUAACAGAAAUUUAUUUCAUCACAAUUCUGGAAGUUAGAAGUUUUAAAUUCACUCCUUGGCUUAUAAGAUGGCCAUCUUCUCCCUGUAUCUUUUUAUGACCUUCCUCUGUACCUGUCUGUGUCCUAGUUUCUUCUUCUUAUAAAGACACCAGUCAUUGGAUUAGGUCCCGUCCAUGUGACCUCAUUUUAGCGUAAUCACUUUAUUAAAGACCUAUUCUCCAAAUACUAUCCCAUUCUGAGGCCCUGGGAGUUAAGGGUUCUGACACACGAAUUUUGGAGGAACACAAUGCAGCCUGUAACAUUCAUUGCACACGCAGUGAGCAUGGGAGCUAAACUUUAUGGAUUGUGGGAACCUACCUGGAAUUUUUAAUCUUCAGUAACAUAAAGGUAGAAGAGACGACUGCAGUUCAUUCAUCCCAGAGGAAAGGUCUGAUAAGAUGCUGUCUGCUAGAAAAAUAUUCCUAAUCUUCCUGAUUCUCAUCCCUCCAAAGCUAUCUUGGCUUCUGGCUCUUUCCAAGAUAAGUGUUUCAAACCUGAUUCUGUGAGUUCCCGAUAGCCUUGUAAUAAAUUCCUUUUGUUUGAACUAGCCAGGAUCAGUGUCUAUUUUCUGCAACUAAGAACGCUAUUUGAUACAGUAUUUUAAAGACUUUUUCAAAAACCAUCUCGAUUUGUGCUCACUGACCUCUGAGUAUGUUGGGGUUCACCACCCCCAUGAGAGGUCCUCAGAAGACACCAAAGCUGAUGGGAGAUCUCCAUAAAUAUAGUUUUGGGGCUUAGAGAGUUGAAUUUUCACUCAUAGGUCAGCAUUUGAAAGGGAAAAAAUGCCAAUUCAAGGGUAAAUGGAACAUGGACACAAUCUCUGACUUUGGAUAAAUGGUUCCUCUGGAUUUUAAGUCAGACUGACCACAUUUCCUGGUUUGCUUGAGACAGCCCUGUUUCAUGCUACUUUUCCCACAGUAAUUAUUGAUAGUGUCUCAUCCAUCCCCAAAUGUAUUCCAAUGUGGCCACCCUAUUUUAAGUGUGUCACGGCCACUGAUGUAUCCCUAGUAUCCAGAACAGAGCCUGGUAGAAAGUAGGUGUUCAAUAAAUAUUCUAUUAAGGAAAGAAUGGAUAAAUCAAUGAAAGGGGCCUUGCCCCAUUAUCAGCUACAGAUGCACAUUUAAAUAUUUAUUUUUCUUCUACUUGUGCCUCCCACUGGUCUAUAUCAUCAAGCCAAGAGGUUUUGGAAGGACAGCAUCUCCUUAUGGAGAGCUCCUAGACACAAAGGAGACAUGUGUUUGGAGACUUGCCAUAUUCCUGUUAGCACCCAUGGACAUGGUGGCUGCCUCUUUAAAGAGGAUGGAUUUCAAGACAAGGUGUGAAGCCCACCUGUUAUUAAAAAGCCUGCCAAGAUCUGAGCUCCACUGGGUUCAGUGUUCCUUCUCCCCAUACCUGCCCUCCCCACGCAUAUUGCCUGGAUGAGGCUCCAACUUGAUCAGUAGGCAACCAACAUGCCACUAAUUAGGAGGCACAAGGCAUAGCGGAGGAUGAUUAGCUCAUGAUGAGCACACGCUGCCUAGAGUUGCCUUGUUACUAUUAUAAAUAGAUUAGAAAUCUGGGGAGCAUCUGCAUUUCCCCUCACAGAGGAGACUCUGAAAUUGACAAGUUGAAAUGCAAAUGUGUCAAGCAGAGCUUCAUAAUUGACAAAGAUUAACUUUAUUUCUCUAGACCCAUCUCUCCCUUCUUCUUCCUUUGAUACCUCCUCCCUUGACAAGUCCUGGUUGCCAAUGAAAGAAACCCAGCAAUUCUCCAAUUGAACCAUAAGAUUUUGGAAGGACAGUGCAAGAAAACCAUUCUGGCACUCCAAGGACCAGAUGUGUUGUUUAUGGAGACAAUUAUGUGCUUCCCAGAUGGGAGUUCUCCUAAUACUGCCAUACUUCUGGAAUUGGCAAUGUGCUUUUCACACCUCUGGAAAUCAAAACAAGCCAGCAAGGCGGGCCAUGAAGUGUUUUCCUUUUACGAAUGAGAUAGCUCAUUGAGCGACUCUCAAAGUUGCAGCUGUUGCCCAGGAAGAAAUGAGCAAAUUUGGAAGCUGUUCUCACUUCUGUAGAUUAAGAUCCAUGGAACUUUAUCACGUAUUUGAAACACUAAAGAAAUAAGAAGAAACAUCCAACUUACAGCCCUUAUUCUGGGUGCCCAGUUUACAUUUCCUUAUUUACCUGGUGAAGAAGAGCCACUAAUAAGCAAAGAACCAAAAAACGACAUUUGCUGUCGGUUUCAUGCAUCGAACAGCUGGAAGAAGGAAAAAAAACGGACACAUGUUGUUUUUCUCCUUUUCAUUGCUCUUGCUUAAUAAGUCUUCAUACCUGACUUGGCAUUCCAUCAUCUCUACCACUCAUUGGGAACUCAUAUCAAACUCAAAGACCUUGCAAUUACCAAGACCUUUGCUCAGAGGUCCCAGCCAUAUAUAUGUGAAUGAAAAACUUUGACAUGGGUUCAAAUAGGUCAUUUAGUGAAAGCGCUCCAUGGGGCAGUGGAAAAUGAAUAGGCAGAGUAAAUCAGAUUAUUGUUUCCAAUUAUAGUACCUAGUACCAGAGUAGAAAGAAUCUAUUUCUCUAGCCAUGGAGGUUGGACUUGGCUGUGUGAUUUUCUUUAGUCAACGGAAUGUGGAUGAAGAUAAAUAAAGUGACCAUUUUGAGCCCAGGCCUUAGAGACAUAGGGUUGUUCUACUGGCCUCACCUGGAAUUCUACAAUCCACCAUGAAAAAACAUGCCCUGGGUAGCUGCAGUUCCAGGAUGAUGAUAAUUCAUGGAGCAGACUCAAACUACCUGAAACCUCCUUCCAGAUCAGACCAGCAGAGCCUGGUCAGUCCUGAUAUGUUCAGCCAAACCAGAGCCAACCUAAAGAUUCAUGAGCAAAAACCAAGCAUCUGUUGUUAUAAGCCAUUCAUUGUUUUCCAUGUAGCAUCACUGUAGCAAUAGUUUACAGACACAGUGGAUAAAGAAAACUCCCCAAAGAGAAAACUCAGCCACGUAUGUAGCUUUGAU